CGAUGAACCACUUCGGUGGGGAUUAGUGGCGAACGGGUGAGUAACACGUGGGCAAUCUGCCCUGCACUCUGGGACAAGCCCUGGAAACGGGGUCUAAUACCGGAUACUGAUCAACUGGGGCAUCCCUGGUGAUCGAAAGCUCCGGCGGUGCAGGAUGAGCCCGCGGCCUAUCAGCUUGUUGGUGAGGUAACGGCUCACCAAGGCGACGACGGGUAGCCGGCCUGAGAGGGCGACCGGCCACACUGGGACUGAGACACGGCCCAGACUCCUACGGGAGGCAGCAGUGGGGAAUAUUGCACAAUGGGCGAAAGCCUGAUGCAGCGACGCCGCGUGAGGGAUGACGGCCUUCGGGUUGUAAACCUCUUUCAGCAGGGAAGAAGCGAAAGUGACGGUACCUGCAGAAGAAGCGCCGGCUAACUACGUGCCAGCAGCCGCGGUAAUACGUAGGGCGCGAGCGUUGUCCGGAAUUAUUGGGCGUAAAGAGCUCGUAGGCGGCUUGUCGCGUCGGUUGUGAAAGCCCGGGGCUUAACCCCGGGUCUGCAGUCGAUACGGGCAGGCUAGAGUUCGGUAGGGGAGAUCGGAAUUCCUGGUGUAGCGGUGAAAUGCGCAGAUAUCAGGAGGAACACCGGUGGCGAAGGCGGAUCUCUGGGCCGAUACUGACGCUGAGGAGCGAAAGCGUGGGGAGCGAACAGGAUUAGAUACCCUGGUAGUCCACGCCGUAAACGGUGGGCACUAGGUGUGGGCAACAUUCCACGUUGUCCGUGCCGCAGCUAACGCAUUAAGUGCCCCGCCUGGGGAGUACG
This 803-nucleotide ribosomal RNA is filed under the name Streptomyces sp. Its description in RNAcentral is "bacterial SSU rRNA". It matches the Rfam family "Bacterial small subunit ribosomal RNA", at positions 67 to 884 of the family's 1533-position model. The record is from RNAcentral. Lineage: Bacteria; Bacillati; Actinomycetota; Actinomycetes; Kitasatosporales; Streptomycetaceae.